UACGGAGGGGGCAAUCGUUGUUCGGAAUUACUGGGCGUAAAGAGCGCGUAGGCGGCGGGACCAGUCAGGCGUGAAAGCCCCGGGCUCAACCUGGGAGGUGCGCUUGAUACAGUUCUGCUGGAGUCCGGGAGGGGAUGGCGGAAUUCCCAGUGUAGAGGUGAAAUUCGUAGAUAUUGGGAAGAACACCGGUGGCGAAGGCGGCCAUCUGGACCGGCACUGACGCUGAGGCGCGAAAGCGUGGGGAGCAAACAGG
RNAcentral lists this ribosomal RNA (253 nucleotides) under uncultured bacterium. RNAcentral describes it as "partial 16S ribosomal RNA". It matches the Rfam family "Bacterial small subunit ribosomal RNA", at positions 524 to 776 of the family's 1533-position model. The record is from RNAcentral.